RNAcentral lists this ribosomal RNA (468 nucleotides) under uncultured bacterium. RNAcentral's name for it is "partial 16S ribosomal RNA". It matches the Rfam family "Bacterial small subunit ribosomal RNA", at positions 28 to 507 of the family's 1533-position model. The record is from RNAcentral.
GACGAACGCUGGCGGCGUGCUUAACACAUGCAAGUCGAACGGAAAGGCCCUGCUUUUGUGGGGUGCUCGAGUGGCGAACGGGUGAGUAACACGUGAGUAACCUGCCCUUGACUUUGGGAUAACUUCAGGAAACUGGGGCUAAUACCGGAUAGGAGCUCCUGCUGCAUGGUGGGGGUUGGAAAGUUUCGGCGGUUGGGGAUGGACUCGCGGGUUAUCAGCUUGUUGGUGGGGUAGUGGCUUACCAAGGCUUUGACGGGUAGCCGGCCUGAGAGGGUGACCGGCCACAUGGGGACUGAGAUACGGGCCAGACUCCUGCGGGAGGCAGCAGUGGGGAAUAUUGCACGAUGGGCGGAAGCCUGAUGCAGCAACGCCGCGUGCGGGAUGACGGCCUUCGGGUUGUAAACCGCUUUCGCCUGUGACGAAGCGUGAGUGACGGUAAUGGGUAAAGAAGCACCGGCUAACUACGUG